UGUUCAGUUGGUUUGGCUUAUUUAAAAUUCAGCGGCCUGUCACGCCGGGGGGCGCGGGUUCGAGUCCCGUCCACUGUGCCA
RNAcentral lists this transfer RNA (81 nucleotides) under Thalassotalea piscium. Its description in RNAcentral is "tRNA-Asp". Lineage: Bacteria; Pseudomonadati; Pseudomonadota; Gammaproteobacteria; Alteromonadales; Colwelliaceae. The record is from RNAcentral.